RNAcentral lists this long non-coding RNA (1708 nucleotides) under Homo sapiens (human). RNAcentral describes it as "lncAB15.3". The record is from RNAcentral. Lineage: Eukaryota; Metazoa; Chordata; Mammalia; Primates; Hominidae.
UGCAUGACUUUUUACUGACUCAUUUGUCAAAACACUCUGACAUUAUCUAUGUAUGAUCAUUUUAGAGAUUGAGGAAAAUAAACUCAAGAACUGGUGACUUGCCCAGGUCACACUACUGGUGGGUAGCAAAACAGCAGCUAGAAUCUAUAGCUUCUGGCUUUCCAGCCAGUCCUUGUUCCACUACAUUCAUUACUUCUUUGCUGGACUGAAAAGCUUAGGACUUUUCCUGUAAGUAAUACGGAGCCAUUGAAGAUCUGAAGUUUCAAGGAAGUGGUAGGAUGGAUUCUCUUUUACUAUAAGAUGAGGAUGAGGAAGCGGAGGAUCAGAGCUUACGUGAUUGGCUCAGUAUCACACAGUACCACACAAUAAACGAUGAGGAGAUUCUGGCUCACAGAGGUGAAGUGAUCUGCUCAAGAUGAAAUAGCCAGCUGGUGAAAUUACUGAGACAAGCACUCAGGUUCAGAGUCUGGCUUGCAGACAAGGUACAGAUGGAAAUCUUCCUGGACUCAGGCCAAGAAGAGGAGAAAGGAGGAAGGAAAUAUGGUUAUACUUUCCUUGCUAAGGAAAUCCAACCCUCCACAAGGCAGCUUUCUUCCCAUCCCCUUGACCUUUUAGGAAAAAGCCCUGUGCCCAUCCUGCUGUGAUUCAGGAGUCUCGCAGAAGACAUCAGAAUGCCUUUCUCUGAGUCACAGUCUGUAUCUUCUAGAAAAGGCUGUCCAUCUUCACCCCAAGCCCACUGGCUCCUGAGAUACGACAUCCAGACCCAGUGCAGCUGGACCUGGCCCAGGAAGAUCAUGCGGUUUCUGGGAAGCACUGGAGAAGGAAAAGGCUGAAGAAAGGAAGACCGGAAAAGAAAUACAAGUCCUUCCGCCUUGGCAAAGAUGAUAGUACCGUUCCCUUCAGUGUUCCGGUUCUGCUCUAUUGGAUAAGUUCCGGUUUGACUAUGACUACGUGAAAAUGUGGAACCAGACCUUCACCCCACAUUCCAGCUCCAGCUCUACCACAGAGGAAGUGCAAUAUCACCUUAGUUAUUCAACACAUUAUGCUCCUCGUGAUACAACCAGAGUUCACAUCAGCAAUCUUGGCAGCUCUCACCACGCUGCUGACUCACGACUCUCUCAUGUCCCAAUUUCCUGUCCAUUGUUCUUUCCUCUACUUGGCCUGAUUUCUAAAGGCCUCUCUUGGUUGCAUUAAGCGGGAUUCCUGAGGGAUUCCCUUGGCAGUUACCUUGGGGGAGCUCUUAGGUUUGGGGCUGAUCCAUGUCCUCUAAAUGUAGGACUUCAAAGCUCCCAAAGAUAGGCAGGCCCAGUGGGAAGCUGGGAAAUGCUCUCUGACCCCUCUGGGAGGGCUGGCAGUCAGAGGGCCUUUUGGAAAGAGUCAGACCUGAUCCAUAAGUCCCUGGAAAACACCCUGCCCAGGGAGCAAAUGCCACUGUGGCCUUGACUGAGGCUUCAGAAGAGUUUGGGAGCUGCAAUUCAUCCACACACGCAUUCAUUUUCAAGUAGUGGUUUGCAGUUCAGGCUUUGGAGCCACAUAAGCCUGGCUUCAAAGCCACUUUCCAGCUUUGUAGGAAGUCUCUACAUUUUUAAACCUCCAUUUUUUUUUCCUGUAAAACUGGGGUCUUCAUGGUACUUAACUUCAUCGUGAUGUUGAGAGAAUGAAAAGAAAAAGGAUAAAUAAAUGGCUUAGCCUCGUGCCUUGGCACAUA